This 962-nucleotide long non-coding RNA is filed under the name Zalophus californianus (California sea lion). Its description in RNAcentral is "lncRNA (ENSZCAG00015023735.1)". Lineage: Eukaryota; Metazoa; Chordata; Mammalia; Carnivora; Otariidae. The record is from RNAcentral.
GCUGGUCAAAAGGAAUGGGUGAGUCGUCUUCCCGGCUCCGUUGGUUUACGAAACCAUAUUGUGUGUGUAAUAGUGCCUGUGCCGGUAAGAAGAAAGGCAGUUCUGGCCGAGGCAUACCCGGGUUGGGGUGCUGUCUGUGGCUUUGAAGGAGGUCGGGAAUGGAGGCGCGUUCUUCCACGUUGAAGUCAAGGUCGACUUGUCUGUCUGCUAAAGCGAAGUACCCUGUCCAGGAAGAGGAAUCCGAAGAGGAACUAGAGAAGCAUUGGUCUAUUAGAGAAAAAGCCAGGCUUCCUUGGACACCAGAAAGGAAAGACACCGAGUCUUCAAAAACCAGCUGAACAAGGAUAUCCUCAAGACAGAGGGAAAUGGCAUUAAUAAGGAGUCUCUUGUGUUGGGCAUUGAAUGCAUGCCAGGCACUGUGACAAACAUUUCCCAUAUAUUAUCACUUUUCAUCCUUAACAACUAUCCCCUUGUACAGAUGAAGACUCCAAAGCUAAAGAAACAAACAAAAAAGGUAAAGCAACUCGGACAAGGUAAGCACAGCUAGUAAGUCAUGGCCUGGGGCAUAUCUAUAGGUAUAUUUUUUAUAAGAUCACGUCUGUAAACUGCCUAAGAUUAUGACAACGAAGGGCAUUAGUUAAAAUUGUAAGCAUAUGUUGGAAGGAGAAUCGGUCCCUAGGGACAAACAUACCUGAAACGCUCUAUAAAAAUCAUCAGUCGAGAUAGCCCUUUGUUCUUGGUUCCUAAGCAGGGUUGGGGCAAAAACUACUUGUUAUAAAGGAAAUCCCUAAGAACCUCAGUUAGGGUUUCUGAAACUCAAACUCAGAGCACGUACUGAGGCUCAGAGUGGUUACGUGUUUUGCUCUGGGAUUCUGACGUUCCAAGUCCAUUUGACUCCAAGACCCAACUUCUUUGAGGAAUUUUGGCUCAGGAAUUUAGGAAUACACAGCGACUGCUACGAG